This is a non-coding RNA of Podarcis lilfordi (Lilford's wall lizard), 82 nucleotides long. NCBI's taxonomy places the organism in Eukaryota, Metazoa, Chordata, Lepidosauria, Squamata, Lacertidae. The record is from the annotation of a GenBank genome assembly.
UGCUGGACUGAGGGAUAGCUCAGUUGAUAGAGCAUGAAACUCUUAAUCUCAGGGUUGUGAGUUCAAGACCCAGGUUGGGCAA